UACGUAGGGGGCUAGCGUUGUCCGGAAUCAUUGGGCGUAAAGCGCGCGUAGGCGGCCCGGUAAGUCCGCUCUGAAAGUCCAGGGCUCAACCCUGGAAAGCGGGUGGAUACUGCCGGGCUAGAAUCCGGAAGAGGCGAGUGGAAUUCCUGGUGUAGCGGUGAAAUGCGUAGAUAUCUGGAGGAAUACCGGUGGCGAAGGCGGCAUCCUGGACCGACAUUGACGCUGAGGAGCGAAAGCUAGGGGAGCAAACGGG
RNAcentral lists this ribosomal RNA (253 nucleotides) under uncultured bacterium. RNAcentral describes it as "partial 16S ribosomal RNA". It matches the Rfam family "Bacterial small subunit ribosomal RNA", at positions 524 to 776 of the family's 1533-position model. The record is from RNAcentral.